This 135-nucleotide microRNA precursor is filed under the name Chlorocebus sabaeus (green monkey). RNAcentral's name for it is "miRNA (ENSCSAG00000025003.1)". Lineage: Eukaryota; Metazoa; Chordata; Mammalia; Primates; Cercopithecidae. The record is from RNAcentral.
CAACAGAAGUUUAUUUUUUCACACCUUUGGAGGCUGGAAGUCCAAGAUCAAGGUGUUGGCAGGGUUAGUUUCUCCUGAGGCCCCUCUCCUCAGCUUGCAGACGGCUGCCUUCUCACUGUGUUCUCACAUGGCCUC